RNAcentral lists this transfer RNA (77 nucleotides) under Acidobacteriota bacterium. RNAcentral's name for it is "Acidobacteria bacterium (groundwater metagenome) tRNA-Pro". It matches the Rfam family "tRNA". From Rfam's summary of the family: Transfer RNA (tRNA) molecules are approximately 80 nucleotides in length. Their secondary structure includes four short double-helical elements and three loops (D, anti-codon, and T loops). RNAcentral also lists the same sequence under 1 other name. Lineage: Bacteria; Pseudomonadati; Acidobacteriota. The record is from RNAcentral.
CGGGGCUUAGCUCAGCCUGGUAGAGCGCACGGUUCGGGUCCGUGAGGUCGGAGGUUCGAAUCCUCUAGCCCCGACCA